AAAAAAUAUACAAAAUCCUAAACACUAUAAUCAGGCUAAAUCUCCAUUGAAUCAUUUAUGCAGCUCAAUAUACAGUUUUAUUAAAUUGAACACAACACAUAAUACAUACACAUAUACAUCAGUUUAUAGUUUAUACAUGGGGAAAUGACAACUAUUACCUAAUCAUCUUCCAUUUGUUGGCACCUCAUUUAUAUCAAUUGCCAAAUAUGAUAUCCUCACUAGUCAUCACAACUUGCACUUACAUGAAAUGCUAAGCACAGAACUAAUGAAACGCAGUUCUUUCUCAUCUCACAAUUUGAUAGCAUCAAUAGCUAGCCUCAAAUGUUAUUCAUUCCAUUAGUCCCAUUUUUCUGACAGCACUUAAAGCUAGAACGACUCAAAUACCUCUGGAGCCUGAAAAUUAGAAUCGAUCUGCCUGCUUUUGGCUUGGAACCCAUAACUCCCAUCCUGUUGUAAACUCAUAUCACAAACUUCAGACUUAGAAUAUCUAGGAUUUCGCAAACUAUUACUCCCAUUAAUUCUAUUCCUACCAUCAAUCUUACUCCUAUUAGUCUUAGUAUCACCACU
Molecule: unclassified non-coding RNA, 567 nt
Filed under: Hevea brasiliensis (rubber tree)
Lineage: Eukaryota; Viridiplantae; Streptophyta; Magnoliopsida; Malpighiales; Euphorbiaceae
Source: RNAcentral